UGGCUUAGAUGGUAAAGCGUCUGCCUACAAUGCGGGAGACCCAGGUUCGAUCCCUGG
Molecule: transfer RNA, 57 nt
Filed under: Capra hircus (goat)
Lineage: Eukaryota; Metazoa; Chordata; Mammalia; Artiodactyla; Bovidae
Rfam family: tRNA
About the family: Transfer RNA (tRNA) molecules are approximately 80 nucleotides in length. Their secondary structure includes four short double-helical elements and three loops (D, anti-codon, and T loops).
Source: Rfam by way of RNAcentral